AUGGGGGGGGGACGUGGUGCUGUGGGGCAGGGAGGUCUGAGGGGGGCCCCAAGGUUUGGGGGACGGGCCUUGAGCCCCCCCCGAGACCCUGCACAGAGACACCGAGGAGACCCCAGCCCCCUUAUGGGCCACCCCCGUUUUCGUGAAGGCCCCCCCAAGUUUCCCACCGAGGCCUCCCCGUUCACCCGGGGACGUCGCGGGGAGCCGAGGGCACCCCACUGCAGGACGGGGGGGCGGCGGCGCUGCGGGGAGCAGGGCGCACCGGGGGGGGGGGCUGCAAAGCCUUUACCCCAGACACGAAACCCCAGUGUCCUGGGGGGGGGUGUGUGGGGCCGGGACACCCCCGCUCCGAGGAGCCUUCUGGGGUUCUGCGUCUGGCGCUCCUCGGGCCGCCUCCGUGCUCGUUUUGCCUUAUCUGAACCCUGCCCUUCCCCUCCCGCUGGCCGGGCACGGUGCGAAAUCGGCCGUUCGAUCCCCGUGGGGUUUCGCUCGGGCUCUGUCCCGCUCCGGCACCCUGCUGUCGGUGGGACGGAGCCCGGCUGCGGCACGGCGAAUUUCCCCCUCUCCUCUCCUGGGGGGUUGGAGAGGCCGGCGCCGUGCAACCCCCAGGUCCUUUCCCGUCCCCGCAGCCCUCGCCCCGAGCCGCUGCCUCGGAGCCGCUUCGCCUUGGGACGCUGCGGCCAGGUGAACCGGUCUGGGAGGCAGGCGGCCCUGCCCAGACGCCGCCGAGCUGCAGCGACGUGUCCUCGGCAGAGCUCUCCCCUGCCUCCAGGCAGCUUUGCAGAUCCCCCCGCUGGCCUGCGGGGCGUUUCGGGGCCGGUUAACGCGCCUCCUCCGCCCCACGCGCCUCCCGUCCAGGAACGGUUACGGGCAGGGCUCGGGCCUCGACCCCGAAGGGCAGCAGCGGGGACGGAAAGAGGAGGUGGGACGUCACCCGGGCGUGGGGCUGCCCCUUAUGUUUUUGGUGGGAACUCUGCAAGGUCUUCCCCCAUUCUUGGCUCCCUCCUCCCCUUGCCCCGAGCGGGCAGAGGGAGGCUUCAGGACGAUCCGGAGGCCGUGCCAGGUUCGUUUGCCGCGAUGGGAUGA
This 1086-nucleotide long non-coding RNA is filed under the name Anser brachyrhynchus (Pink-footed goose). Its description in RNAcentral is "lncRNA (ENSABRG00000013457.1)". The record is from RNAcentral. Lineage: Eukaryota; Metazoa; Chordata; Aves; Anseriformes; Anatidae.